This 74-nucleotide transfer RNA is filed under the name Fidelibacterota bacterium. RNAcentral describes it as "tRNA-Gln". It matches the Rfam family "tRNA". From Rfam's summary of the family: Transfer RNA (tRNA) molecules are approximately 80 nucleotides in length. Their secondary structure includes four short double-helical elements and three loops (D, anti-codon, and T loops). Further hydrogen bonds mediate the characteristic L-shaped molecular structure. tRNAs have two regions of fundamental functional importance: the anti-codon, which is responsible for specific mRNA codon recognition, and the 3' end, to which the tRNAs corresponding amino acid is attached (by aminoacyl-tRNA synthetases). tRNAs cope with the degeneracy of the genetic code in two manners: having more than one tRNA (with a specific anti-codon) for a particular amino acid; and 'wobble' base-pairing, i.e. permitting non-standard base-pairing at the 3rd anti-codon position. The record is from RNAcentral. Lineage: Bacteria; Pseudomonadati; Fidelibacterota.
UGGGGUGUCGUCUAACGGUAGGACAUCAGGUUCUGGUUCUGAGGGUCGGGGUUCGAUUCCCUGCACCCCAGCAA